GAUGAACGCUGGCGGCGUGCUUAACACAUGCAAGUCGAACGAAGCAUUCUAACGGAACAUUUUCGGAUGGGAAGUUAAAAUGACUGAGUGGCUGACGGGUGAGUAACGCGUGGAUAACCUACCAUAUACAGGGGGACAACAGUUGGAAACGACUGCUAAUACCGCAUAAGCGCACAGUGCCGCAUGGCCCGGUGUGAAAAACUCCGGUGGUAUAUGAUGGAUCCGCGGCUGAUUAGCUAGUUGGUUAGGUAAUGGCCCACCAAAGCAACGAUCAGUGGCCGACCUCAGAGGGUGACCGGCCACAUUGGGACUGAGACACGGCCCAAACUCCUACGGGAGGCAGCAGUGGGGAAUAUUGCACAAUGGGCGAAAGCCUGAUGCAGCGACGCCGCGUGAGCGAAGAAGUAUUUCGGUAUGUAAAGCUCUAUCAGCAGGGAAGAAAAUGACGGUACCUGACUAAGAAGCCCCGGCUAACUACGUGCCAGCCGCCGCAGUAA
RNAcentral lists this ribosomal RNA (497 nucleotides) under uncultured bacterium. Its description in RNAcentral is "partial 16S ribosomal RNA". It matches the Rfam family "Bacterial small subunit ribosomal RNA", at positions 28 to 523 of the family's 1533-position model. The record is from RNAcentral.